Pelodiscus sinensis (Chinese soft-shelled turtle) is the source of this 697-nucleotide non-coding RNA. The record is from RefSeq and is a predicted model, not a curated record. NCBI's taxonomy places the organism in Eukaryota, Metazoa, Chordata, Testudines, Trionychidae.
CAGCACCUGCCUUGCACACGUGCCAGCAGCUCCCAGGGGCCCUCUGCCCUGGCUGGCUCCUUUGACUGGCGUAGCCAGGCUGUGCCCCCUCCCGGCCCCAGCAGUUUAUCGGCGUUUAGCACCACAACCACCAAACAGCGCCAUUCCAAAUAGGAAUGCUUCCUGAAUUGAGGCUAAUCAUUGAUUUGUAGCCCACAAAUAUACUCCUAAUUGUUAUUGAAGUUUUAUCAAAUACAUCUGCAUUCAGUACUGCUAAAAUAAGCAGCUACAGCUUGCAUCUUUUCCAAAGCACACUCCAUCAAGAUGCGCUGAAGUUUGUGAGCCAUGCGUUGCUCUGCAGCUUCAGAUUCCCUCUUCAGCUCAUUUUCCAGAAAAACCAUCAUGACUUCUGGGAGUAAGAGAGACCCUAUCUGGAAAUAGUCUGAAGAAAUUUUUCCCCUGGGUAAAAAAGGAAAAUGUGUCAGGAGUAAGCAGUGCCCAGUUGCAAGAAUGAAACAUAAGGAAACCUGCUUAUUGGGAGAAAAUGAUGUGGAUGUGGCUGAGUGGAUCAGCUGAAAAUAAGCUUGGAUUUUAAAGAUCGCGCCAAGGCAAUACCACCCCCACAGGAGAUGCAUUAUAUUUCCGGCUGACAAAAUGACCAUCAACAUGCCUUUGUUUAUGUUGGCUUAUUUAGCUUGUAUUAGUGAUAACAUGUUUA